AUACAGAGGGUGCGAGCGUUAAUCGGAAUUACUGGGCGUAAAGCGCGCGUAGGCGGUUUGCCAAGUCGGAUGUGAAAGCCCCGGGCUUAACCUGGGAACUGCAUUCGAAACUUGUAGACUUGAGUACGGUAGAGGGAAGUGGAAUUCCAGGUGUAGCGGUGAAAUGCAUAGAUAUCUGGAGGAACACCAGUGGCGAAGGCGACUUGCUGGACUAAUACUGACGCUGAGGAGCGAAAGCGUGGGGAGCAAACGGGAUUAGAAACCCCGGUAGUCC
RNAcentral lists this ribosomal RNA (274 nucleotides) under uncultured bacterium. RNAcentral describes it as "partial 16S ribosomal RNA". It matches the Rfam family "Bacterial small subunit ribosomal RNA", at positions 523 to 796 of the family's 1533-position model. The record is from RNAcentral.